UCGAUGUUGCAUAGAUUUAUU
RNAcentral lists this non-coding RNA (21 nucleotides) under Caenorhabditis elegans. Lineage: Eukaryota; Metazoa; Nematoda; Chromadorea; Rhabditida; Rhabditidae. The record is from RNAcentral.